CAGCCGCCGCGGUAAUACGUAGGGUGCGAGCGUUAAUCGGAUUUACUGGGCGUAAAGCGUGCGCAGGCGGCCCGUUAAGACAGGUGUGAAAUCCCUGGGCUCAACCUAGGAAUUGCGCUUGUGACUGGCGGGCUCGAGUACGGUAGAGGGGGGUGGAAUUCCUGGUGUAGCAGUGAAAUGCGUAGAGAUCAGGAGGAACACCGAUGGCGAAGGCAGCCCCCAGGGCCUGUACUGACGCUCAUGCACGAAAGCGUGGGGAGCAAACAGGAUUAGAUACCCUGGUAGUCCACGCCCUAAACGAUGGGUACUAGCCGUUUGGUGCGCGAUAGCGCUGAGUGGCGAAGCUAACGCGUGAAGUACCCCGCCUGGGGAGUACGGCCGCAAGGUUGAAACUUAAAGGAAUUGGCGGG
This 410-nucleotide ribosomal RNA is filed under the name uncultured microorganism. RNAcentral's name for it is "bacterial SSU rRNA". It matches the Rfam family "Bacterial small subunit ribosomal RNA", at positions 509 to 917 of the family's 1533-position model. The record is from RNAcentral.